This 253-nucleotide ribosomal RNA is filed under the name Bacteroides ovatus. RNAcentral describes it as "partial 16S ribosomal RNA". It matches the Rfam family "Bacterial small subunit ribosomal RNA", at positions 524 to 776 of the family's 1533-position model. Lineage: Bacteria; Pseudomonadati; Bacteroidota; Bacteroidia; Bacteroidales; Bacteroidaceae. The record is from RNAcentral.
UACGGAGGAUCCGAGCGUUAUCCGGAUUUAUUGGGUUUAAAGGGAGCGUAGGUGGAUUGUUAAGUCAGUUGUGAAAGUUUGCGGCUCAACCGUAAAAUUGCAGUUGAAACUGGUAGUCUUGAGUACAGUAGAGGUGGGCGGAAUUCGUGGUGUAGCGGUGAAAUGCUUAGAUAUCACGAAGAACUCCGAUUGCGAAGGCAGCUCACUAGACUGUUACUGACACUGAUGCUCGAAAGUGUGGGUAUCAAACAGG